This 222-nucleotide unclassified non-coding RNA is filed under the name uncultured fungus. RNAcentral's name for it is "sequence contains ITS1". The stretch from base 1 to 108 matches the Rfam family "5.8S ribosomal RNA", at positions 49 to 154 of the family's 154-position model. Lineage: Eukaryota; Fungi. The record is from RNAcentral.
UAAAAUGCGAUACUUGGUAUGAAUUGUUAAAUCGCGUGAACCAUCGAGUCAUUGAAUGCAAGUUACGCCCGAAGCCAUUAGGUUGAGGGCAGGUUUGUCUUGGCAUCUCACGUUGCAUUGCCCUUUCCCUCGAAGGGUUACGGGCGGAUGUUGGUCCCCGUAUGUGCCAGUAUGCUGUUGGAUUGCAACCCCAAGUCUAGUGCAAUUACCCGCUGAGUUUAA